GGGAAUCUUCCACAAUGGACGCAAGUCUGAUGGAGCAACGCCGCGUGAGUGAAGAAGGUUUUCGGAUCGUAAAGCUCUGUUGUUGGUGAAGAAGGAUAGAGGCAGUAACUGGCCUUUAUUUGACGGUAAUCAACCAGAAAGUCACGGCUAACUACGUGCCAGCAGCCGCGGUAAUACGUAGGUGGCAAGCGUUGUCCGGAUUUAUUGGGCGUAAAGCGAGCGCAGGCGGAAGAAUAAGUCUGAUGUGAAAGCCCUCGGCUUAACCGAGGAACUGCAUCGGAAACUGUUUUUCUUGAGUGCAGAAGAGGAGAGUGGAACUCCAUGUGUAGCGGUGGAAUGCGUAGAUAUAUGGAAGAACACCAGUGGCGAAGGCGACUCUCUGGUCUGCAACUGACGCUGAGGCUCGAAAGCAUGGGUAGCGAACAGGAUUAGAUACCCUGGUAGUCCAUGCCGUAAACGAUGAGUGCUAAGUGUUGGGAGGUUUCCGCCUCUCAGUGCUGCAGCUAACGCAUUAAGCACUCCGCCUGGGGGAGUACGACCGCAAGGUUGAAAC
Molecule: ribosomal RNA, 553 nt
Filed under: uncultured bacterium
Lineage: Bacteria
Description: partial 16S ribosomal RNA
Rfam family: Bacterial small subunit ribosomal RNA
Source: RNAcentral